GCCUAGGUGGUGGAACUGGGAUACACGACAGAUUUAAAAUCUGUUGACCAUAAUGGUCAUGCGGGUUCGAGUCCCGUCCUGGGCA
RNAcentral lists this transfer RNA (85 nucleotides) under Candidatus Pacearchaeota archaeon. RNAcentral describes it as "tRNA-Leu". It matches the Rfam family "tRNA". Rfam says of the family: Transfer RNA (tRNA) molecules are approximately 80 nucleotides in length. Lineage: Archaea; Nanobdellati. The record is from RNAcentral.